This 497-nucleotide ribosomal RNA is filed under the name uncultured bacterium. RNAcentral's name for it is "partial 16S ribosomal RNA". It matches the Rfam family "Bacterial small subunit ribosomal RNA", at positions 28 to 507 of the family's 1533-position model. The record is from RNAcentral.
GAUGAACGCUGGCGGCGUGCCUAAUACAUGCAAGUCGAGCGAACAGACGAGGAGCUUGCUCCUCUGACGUUAGCGGCGGACGGGUGAGUAACACGUGGAUAACCUACCUAUAAGACUGGGAUAACUUCGGGAAACCGGAGCUAAUACCGGAUAAUAUAUUGAACCGCAUGGUUCAAUAGUGAAAGACGGUUUUGCUGUCACUUAUAGAUGGAUCCGCGCCGCAUUAGCUAGUUGGUAAGGUAACGGCUUACCAAGGCGACGAUGCGUAGCCGACCUGAGAGGGCGAUCGGCCACACUGGAACUGAGACACGGUCCAGACUCCUACGGGAGGCAGCAGUAGGGAAUCUUCCGCAAUGGGCGAAAGCCUGACGGAGCAACGCCGCGUGAGUGAUGAAGGUCUUCGGAUCGUAAAACUCUGUUAUUAGGGAAGGACAAAUGUGUAAGUAACUAUGCACGUCUUGACGGUACCUAAUCAGAAAGCCACGGCUAACUACGUG